RNAcentral lists this ribosomal RNA (508 nucleotides) under uncultured bacterium. RNAcentral's name for it is "partial 16S ribosomal RNA". It matches the Rfam family "Bacterial small subunit ribosomal RNA", at positions 30 to 523 of the family's 1533-position model. The record is from RNAcentral.
AUUGAACGCUGGCGGCAGGCCUAACACAUGCAAGUCGAGCGGCAGCGGGAAAGUAGCUUGCUACUUUUGCCGGCGAGCGGCGGACGGGUGAGUAAUGCCUGGGAAAUUGCCCAGUCGAGGGGGAUAACAGUUGGAAACGACUGCUAAUACCGCAUACGCCCUACGGGGGAAGGCAGGGGACCUUCGGGCCUUGCGCGAUUGGAUAUGCCCAGGUGGGAUUAGCUAGUUGGUGAGGUAAUGGCUCACCAAGGCGACGAUCCCUAGCUGGUCUGAGAGGAUGAUCAGCCACACUGGAACUGAGACACGGUCCAGACUCCUACGGGAGGCAGCAGUGGGGAAUAUUGCACAAUGGGGGAAACCCUGAUGCAGCCAUGCCGCGUGUGUGAAGAAGGCCUUCGGGUUGUAAAGCACUUUCAGCGAGGGGGAAAGGUUGAUGCCUAAUACGUAUCAACUGUGACGUUACUCGCAGAAGAAGCACCGGCUAACUCCGUGCCAGCAGCCGCGGUAA